CCUUCAGCUGAGUAGCUGUGUCCUAUAGCCCCUGGGUGCUGGGGCUGAGUAGGCUCCUCUUGCCCUACACCUGUUCUGCUUCCUCAGGUAGGUCUCCAGCUUGAGGCCACUCAGCUGCUAGGCACCUUUCCAUUCCCCAGGAAAUGCUGGAAGUAGGUCUGUAGACAAAGAGACCUGCCCCUGUUGCUCAGCCUCCUCUGGUGGCAUUGUGAUGCUGGCCUGACUGCCAUUAUGAUGGCCGCUGGGUGGGGGUGGGGCUGCUUCGGGCAGGGCCCCUCACGCAGAACUCUCAUGGGCAUCAUGAACCAGCUCCCUCCCUAGGCCUGCUGUUACCUGGCCCAGUCUCCCAGCCAGCAUCUUCCCUCCAUUCUGGGCAGGGGAGGGUCUAGGCUGGGAAUUGGCCAAAGCUGUGCUGUCCAGUGUAGUGGCUUCUAGCCACAUGUGGUUCUUGACUUAAAAGCAAAUAUAAUGUAAGACUCAGUUCCUAGUCCUGCCAGCCACAUUUCUACAGUAGUCACAUGUGGGUGUGUAUUGGACUACGCAGACAAUGACCAGUUCCACCACAGGAAGUUCCACUGGCCAGUGCUAGAUCAAAUAGGAACUUGGUGAGACUGUCCCUGGGAGCCCUUUACCACUAUGAACCUGUCCAUGGGACAGGAGAGAAGGCUCUACUUGGAAAGAGCAGCAUAGUGUGUGGGGUUUUUCUUGGGGGUGAGGUAGAUGAGCUUGAACCUCAUUCCCCCUGCACCAGGCACUGCCUUGGGUGGCACCCCCUGACCUACACUCCCUUCCAUACCAAGAGCUGCCAAGAGUGACCCUGCCACUCUUGAUGACCCAAAGGAUGACACAGUUUCCCACUGGCGCAGAGAUAAGAAGAUGAAGGAGGAACAAAGCCUUGGGGUGGUGGGAUUCCAGUCCAAGCAUCCUCUGGAAAGAUGUGUAAAGAAUUCCUGCCUCUGGGUGUGGUGACACACCUGUAGCCCCUGGGGGGCUAAGGAAGGAGGAUCACUUGAGACCAGAAAUUUGAAGCCAAACCCAAGGAACAGACAAACAGGCAGAGACCUUGUCUUUAAAGAAAAAAGAAAAGAAAAAAAAAGAAAGAAUUCCUGCCCUACCAGCAAGUAGGUUGGGCUGCCAGGGCUGGUCCUUGUAGGACCCAGGAGCCAUCAGCCUGCACGGAGGGGCCAGCUGUAUCCAGCCUGUGGACCCAAGAACAAAUGACUUACACAUAUGUGAUUUUCAUGUGUUAUCCAGGAGGUCAUGGAGACCUGGAAGGCCAAGCAUAUUAAAAAUGCUUGCAUUUAAAA
Non-coding RNA from Heterocephalus glaber (naked mole-rat), 1307 nucleotides. Lineage: Eukaryota; Metazoa; Chordata; Mammalia; Rodentia; Bathyergidae. The record is from RefSeq and is a predicted model, not a curated record.